Molecule: long non-coding RNA, 1492 nt
Organism: Syngnathus typhle (broad-nosed pipefish)
Lineage: Eukaryota; Metazoa; Chordata; Actinopteri; Syngnathiformes; Syngnathidae
Exons: 4
Source: RefSeq, a predicted model, not a curated record
CGUUUCGAAGAAAAAGACAAGAAGAAGAAGAAGAGGAAGAAGACGAAGAGUCCGGAGGUCGUGCGUGUGGCGCCUUACCGCGCGCUUAAACAAGUCCGGAGCGCUCCAGAUGACGAGCAAAGCAGCAGCCCAAACGGAACCAAGGCAGCAUACUGCCCGUUUGCACGCACCCAACGGCAGCCAAGGGUGACGUGGGCCCAUCAGCGCACACAAGUCGAUACAUCGAAAAACAGAUCAACUUUGGGGGAAAGAGAAAUGAACUUUCUUUCUCUAAACAACUUUUGAUCCCUGGAAUGUUUCCCCCACUUGGCAGAUUGAAGCAAGCGGAACGUGAAGAGUCCAGGCUUAUGGAGUCACGAGCCGUUCACGACGUCAACGUGAAGGCAAAUCCGGCUGGAACGCCGCUGGGCUGGAGUUUUCCGGCUCUGCUUGCGUCUGGAGUGAUAAACGGGAAGUUAAUUUGCACAGGAGCCCAGGUUGCAGCACCUUCCUCCGGGCAAUAGGCAGGAACGCAAGACAAAUGGAAAUCCACCCAGAGGGAUUCCAUUUUAAAUAGAUAUCAGCCCAUAUAUGAAGGCAGGCGCUGGCGGAGGGGGGGGGGCCCUGGUGUCUUCUUAGUAGGUGUAAUUUGGAGUGCGUAAUGAAGGAAGAAAGGCGCUAUAGGUUAAUCUGAUUGACCCCCGCCGCCACGAGAACGUCUCCCCAGCCGCCCAGCUCCGCCUGCCCUCUGAGAGCGCGUCUGCCCGCCAAUGAUACAGAGGACGCAUACCUCCGGAAUGUAUCCAAGCCACCGCUGAUACGGACUAGAUCAGUGAUGUUGGUGAUACUUGAGCGCGUCCAGGUGGUGCAAGAGCGGACGGGACCGCCGGGCAGCCGUUCACGCAACAAUGACAAGAAGGAUGGCAUCGAGGAUACGACGAUGACACAGAGUGUAUUGGUGACAACGAAUGACGCUGGCGAUACUGCGCUGAGGAGAUGAAUGAUGAUACGGAUUAGACUGGUGAUUUAACCAUACUCAAGAUACCGAGGAUGGUGAUGAUCCCAAUGAUACUGGCAAAACGGAUCGUUCUUAACUCUGUUGAUACGUAUGAAACGAGUGAUCUCGACGGUACCAAUGACACCAAGAUGAUACCGAUGAUACAGACCUCAGUAAAUAAUAUAUACCCUCAUUUUCGGACUAUAAAUCGCUCCUGAGUAUAAGUUGCCCCCUCACCCAAACUAUGAAAAAAACCGCGACUUAUAGUCCGAAAAUUACGGUAGUAUCUUUCCACAUCAUACAUUUCAACUGUAAUUAAAUGUCAUGACUUGUUUGACUUGGUUGGCUCGCGUUCUAUCCGUUUGGUCUGAUUUAGCAUAGCUUGGCUCUUUGCUUUCGGGUCGGGCGCGUGUGCCACGGGUGCCUCGGCGAGGUGUGUCCGAUUAGCUUCCCUGUCUGCCCGCUGUGACUUUGCAACUCUAUCUGUCCUCAGCAAAUAAAUAAGAUCGUGCUUUG